This 253-nucleotide ribosomal RNA is filed under the name uncultured bacterium. RNAcentral's name for it is "partial 16S ribosomal RNA". It matches the Rfam family "Bacterial small subunit ribosomal RNA", at positions 524 to 776 of the family's 1533-position model. The record is from RNAcentral.
UACAGAGGGGGCGAGCGUUGUUCGGAAUUACUGGGCGUAAAGGGCGCGUAGGCGGCCAACUAAGUCAGACGUGAAAUCCCUCGGCUCAACCGGGGAACUGCGUCUGAUACUGGAUGGCUUGAAUUCGGGAGAGGGAUGCGGAAUUCCAGGUGUAGCGGUGAAAUGCGUAGAGAUCGGACGGAACACCAGCGGCGAAGGCGGCAUCCUGGCCCGUACCUGACGCUGAGGCGCGAGAGCGUGGGGAGCAAACCGG